This is a long non-coding RNA of Stylophora pistillata, 301 nucleotides long. NCBI's taxonomy places the organism in Eukaryota, Metazoa, Cnidaria, Anthozoa, Scleractinia, Pocilloporidae. The record is from RefSeq and is a predicted model, not a curated record.
AUGUAACCAUGCAACAAAGAUAUAAUGUAAAAAAAGACAUCAAUAUUUCCGAUCAUCUAUUAACUAAUUUGUUCACUUAUUCUAUCGUUUUUCAGUGGUCGCGGCGGUUUCGAACCUCAUUCUGGCCAUGUUGAUCUCUCUUUCAAUUUCUAGGGCGUGCUGAGAGGUCUGGAAGUGUCGAUGCAAUAAAAAAAAGAAACUCGAAGGUUAAAGUCCAGCAGUCUAAGUUUUUAUUUUUUUUUUACGUAGAAUACUUUUGUCCAGAUUGUUUCAGUAUCGAAUACACAAUACAUAUAUUAUG